GUCCACGCCCUAACGAUGUCAACUGGUUGUUGGACGGCUUGCUGUUCAGUAACGAAGCUAACGCGUGAAGUUGACCGCCUGGGGAGUACGGCCGCAAGGUUGAAACUCAAAGGAAUUGACGGGACCCGCACAAGCGGUGGAUGAUGUGGUUUAAUUCGAUGCAACGCGAAAACCUUACCUACCCUUGACAUGUCUGGAAUCCUGAAGAGAUUUGGGAGUGCUCGAAAGAGAGCCAGAACACAGGUGCUGCAUGGCCGUCGU
Molecule: ribosomal RNA, 261 nt
Filed under: uncultured bacterium
Lineage: Bacteria
Description: partial 16S ribosomal RNA
Rfam family: Bacterial small subunit ribosomal RNA
Source: RNAcentral